This 1412-nucleotide long non-coding RNA is filed under the name Ananas comosus (pineapple). RNAcentral describes it as "long non-coding RNA (ACOM_LNC038843)". The record is from RNAcentral. Lineage: Eukaryota; Viridiplantae; Streptophyta; Magnoliopsida; Poales; Bromeliaceae.
AACCAAAACAGGAACAAAGUUAGGCAACUCAGUUGAGCCCUAAAAGUAUAACUUUACAACUAGUACUUUUUCUCAUUCAAUCGAACAAAGAGCAAAACCUAAUUUUAUUGUUCUAUUAUGCCACGGGAGUGUAAAUUUGGAACGAAUCGAUGUCAACGUUCACUAGACCCAAAACCGGAACAACAUUAGACAACUCAGUUGUCCCAUAACAGUAUAACUUUGCAACGAGUACUUUUUCUCAUUCUAUCGAAUAAGGAGUAAAAGCUUUCUAUUAUGCCCUGAGAGUGUAAAUUGAACGAAUCGAUGUCAACGUUCACAAGAACCAAAAUUGGAACAAAGUUAGGCUACUCAGUUGAGCCCUAAUAGUAUAACUUUGCAACCAGUACAUUUUUUCAUUCAAUCGAACAAAGUGCAAGAACUAAUUAUAUGGUUCUAUUAUGCCCCGAGAGUUUAAAUUUGGAACGAAUCGAUAUAAACGUUCACAAGACCCAAAAUCGGAACAAAGUUAGACUACUCAGUUGAGCCCUAAAAGUAUAACUUUACAACUAGUACUUUUUCUCAUUCGAUCGAACAAAGAGCAAAACCUAAUUUUAUUGUUCUAUUAUGCUCCGGGAGUGUAAAUUUGGAACGAAUCGAUGUCAACGUUUACAAGAACCAAAACCGGAACAAUAUUAGACUACUCAGUUGAGCGCUAACAGUAUAACUUUGCAACUAGUACUUUUUCUCAUUCAAUCGAUCAAAGAGCAAAACCUAAUUAUAUUCUUCUAUUAUGCCCCGAGAGUGUAAAUUUGGAACGAAUCGAUGUAAACGUUCACAAGAACCAAAACCGGAACAAAGUUAUACUACUCAGUUGAGCCCAAACAGUAUAACUUUGCAACUAGUACUUUUUCUCCUUCAAUCGAACAAAGAGCAAAACCAAAUUAUAUUGUUCUAUUAUACCCCGAGAGUGUAAAUUUGGAACGAAUCGAUGUCAACGUUCACAAGAACCAAAACCGGAACAAGAUUAGACUACUCAGUUGCGCCACAACAGUAUAACUUUGCAACGAUUACUUUUUCUCAUUCUAUCGAACAAAGGGUAAAACCUUUCUAUUAUGCCCCGAAAGUGUAAAUUUGGAACGAAUCGAUGUGAACGUUCACAAGAACCAAAACCGGAACAAAUUAUACUACUCAUUGCGCCGUAACAGUAUAACUUUGCAACUAGUACUUUUUCUCAUUCAAUCGAACAAAGAGCAAAACCUAAUUAUAUUCUUCUAUUAUGCCCCGAGAGUGUAAAUUUGGAAUGAAUCGAUGUAAACGUUCACAAGAACCAAAACCGGAACAAAGCUAGACUACUCAGUUGAGCCCUAACUGUAUAACUUUGCAACGAGUACUUUUUAUCAUUCUAUUGAAUAAGUAGUAAAAGCUUUCUAUUA